GACGAACGCUGGCGGCGUGCUUAACACAUGCAAGUCGAACGGAAAGGCCCUGCUUUUGUGGGGUGCUCGAGUGGCGAACGGGUGAGUAACAAGUGAGUAACCUGCCCUUGACUUUGGGAUAACUUCAGGAAACUGGGGCUAAUACCGGAUAGGAGCUCCUGCUGCAUGGUGGGGGUUGGAAAGUUUCGGCGGUUGGGGAUGGACUCGCGGCUUAUCAGCUUGUUGGUGGGGUAGUGGCUUACCAAGGCUUUGACGGGUAGCCGGCCUGUGAGGGUGACCGGCCACAUUGGGACUGAGAUACGGCCCAGACUCCUACGGGAGGCAGCAGUGGGGAAUAUUGCACAAUGGGCGGAAGCCUGAUGCAGCAACGCCGCGUGCGGGAUGACGGCCUUCGGGUUGUAAACCGCUUUCGCCUGUGACGAAGCGUGAGUGACGGUAAUGGGUAAAGAAGCACCGGCUAACUACGUG
Molecule: ribosomal RNA, 468 nt
Filed under: uncultured bacterium
Lineage: Bacteria
Description: partial 16S ribosomal RNA
Rfam family: Bacterial small subunit ribosomal RNA
Source: RNAcentral